RNAcentral lists this long non-coding RNA (1447 nucleotides) under Homo sapiens (human). Its description in RNAcentral is "non-protein coding LINC01759:19". The record is from RNAcentral. Lineage: Eukaryota; Metazoa; Chordata; Mammalia; Primates; Hominidae.
CCUUCCUGCUCGUGCCACCAGGCCCCGGGGCCGCGACGCGUCUCUCCAGCCCGGGAUCCGGGGAGCUGGGCUGUCCCCAGACCGACGGGACAGCGGCAUCUCCUCCACCUGAAAAGGAAAGAGGACCAGGUUUUGCAGGACUCCGAACUGGGCCCGCGAGAUCUCCACCUGCGCAAAACGAAAGGGCGGAUUCUCCUUGGACUCACGAGGCAACCGCUCCCCGGGGUGAGAACGGGGGACUCAUUCCUCCGGCACUGGGAGAAGACGAUUCUUUAGGAGGAGGACAGGGAAGCGAAUGCUACCCAGAACAGUGCUAGAGAAGCCGUGAGCCAGCUGGCAGGUGAGAACGCCCAGGUGCAGGUGGAUGGCUGCAGGUCAGGCCUACUUUUCCUACACCUGUUGCUGGGGGGCAAUCCCAUACCCACUCUCAGUCCAGAGUGCCUGUCACCACAGGGCAAGUAGGUGAAGGGCUUCUCAGAUCCUCAAAGACUCAGAGGGAUAAAAGGAGGCAGAUGGGUCCUAGAGGCAGCCCAUGGCAAGGGAGAGGUCUGCUUUUUUCUUUUUUUUUGAGACGGAGUUUCACUUUUGUUGCCCAGUCAUUUGCGGUUCCCGACCAGGACUGCUUCUCCCCUAGAUGCCCACGUGACUUGUUCCCCCUUUCCUCCUGUUCCCUGAUCAAAUACCUGCCGAUUGACAAGGCCUUUUCAGAUCAGCCCCACCUGCUCACUUGCUUUCCUGCCUGUCCACAUAUUUACCAUCAGAACAGAAUUCUGCCCAUCCGUUUAUUGUCUGUCUCCCCCAGCAACCACUAGAAUGGAAGCUGCAUGUGGGCAUGGCUUAGUUUUGUCCACUGCUGGAUCUCAGCAUCCAAAACAGUCUACCACCUGAUGUCUCAGUAUACUGGCUCGCGGCACAUCGGGCAAAUGAACCUAUCAGAUAACAACGGCAGAUCAGAUGCCUGAGCAUUCAGAAGCAACAGCUGUGGAGCCCCCGUGGGUUCAGAAGGCCUGGUUCCCGUCUCCAGAAGCCUGGCUCUCCUCCCUCCUGGGCCCACUACUUUGGCUUCUUGUUCCUACGUACAAGGAGUUGCGAAGAAGGCAACUCUUCCCCUCCCUGAAGCCAAAGGAAUGAAACAGACUAGGGCGGGAGAGGUGGCCAUCCGUCAUUAGUUGCGGCCAUCAGUAACAGCAACAGGACACGGAACCUAAGGCUGUAUCCAUCCUGGGCCCCCAGGGAAACAUCAGCGGGAGCGGUACUAAGGAAGUGCUCAUCUCUUAGAGACAAAGGCCCAUGGAGGGGAACAGUAACCAUCCCCUCCCAAUUCAGAAAAUGUUAACAUAAGCACUUCAUUUCUCAUGCAGAUAACCACAUAAGUCUAUUAAUAAGAAAGAAAGAGAAAGAAAAAAAAGAAAAAGGAAUCCAUGCCAGCAGGGUAUAGGAAUUGGUC